GUUGACCGGUGGGGGGGGGAGGCGCUCGGACGCGCGUUCCCAGAGCGGGGCGGAACCGCUGGGCAUUGUGGGACGGUGGCGGACUGGGGCGCCCAUGGCGGGGAGGGCCGAGGGGGCGGCCGGCGCAGGGCUGGGCCGGAGGUCUGCUGGGCCAGGGCCUGCUCGCUACCCCGCUCGCCACCGGGCCGGUAGGGCGGCGGCGCCGGGCGGGCCUGGGUGUUGCGGCACUCGCCGUGGCCCAGCCGCCAUCCGGGGGUGCCCCGCGCCGCCUCGGCGGAACCGGCCAGGCCUGGCCNAAAAACCAAGAAAAAAAAAUACACCAAAAAACCCGAGGCACAGAAGUGCCAGCCCAGUGCUCCCAGGCUCCGGCUACUGCCACCUCCCAGCUACAAGCCAGCAGAGCUGAGCUGGGGAGCCAGCCUGCCAGCCAAGCUGCUGGGCCACCUUGGAGCCCUCCCUGGCUCUGCAUCUCCCCAGACAGGAGCCUCAAAGCUGCCUCCAACGCCAGCUUCCCCAUUGCUUCUGAGGUUCCCCGUGCCCUGGAACAGGUACCCAGCAGCCUGAUGCAUCCAAGCCACAGCCACGGGUUCAUCCCUUUGCUAUCCGUGGAGCUUUAUAUUCCCAAGCAACCCCACCGUGCCCCUCAGGAACCUGCCCCCAGCAGACCUGCUGCCUGGACUCCCCAUGCACACACACACCCCACUUACAAGCACUUGUGGCAACAUGCCCACCGCCCUGCAUGGCUACCCAGGACCUCCCAGCUCCACUUCUCCACCUGUGGUGUUAGUUUCCCAGACUCACUUCAUCCCCAGCCCUUCCAGCAGAGGGGUGGUAGCAGCUGGAGGUGGCAAGGGGGUCAAAUCAGACUGACCAAAUCCCAUCCCUGCAUCCCAGUCACCCCAGGCCCAUUUUCCUUGGGUCAGGCAUUACCCACAGAGCAGCAAGCACUGACAGAGACUGGGGACCCGGUGCCAGGGUGCCCUAGGCAGCCACACGCUCUCCCCAUUGCCCUCCAUACAG
RNAcentral lists this long non-coding RNA (1020 nucleotides) under Falco tinnunculus (common kestrel). RNAcentral's name for it is "lncRNA (ENSFTIG00000003760.1)". The record is from RNAcentral. Lineage: Eukaryota; Metazoa; Chordata; Aves; Falconiformes; Falconidae.